CUUCCGUGUAGCCGCCAGCCUGGUUGUAUUUCAACGGUCUCCUUGUAUUGACAAAACUCACCGCAACAGGAAACACGACAAACCUCAGGCAACGUGACUUGACAACCAAGGCAGACUGAAACAAAGCCGAGCCAUUUUGCGAUCCUCGAUCGGGUGCCGCAGACAAAAGGAGCACAGAAACCAGAGCUGGAAGAGAAGAAUGGAGUCCUUUCUUCAUCCAAGCCGACCGGCUGUUGAGCACCUUGGAGAAGCUCUCAACACCCAGGGCAGAUGGGAUAUCUCGGUGGCAGAAGAGGGCUUUCCCUUCAGCGUGCGCACCUGCUGCACAUUUCAAUCAGCCAUGUAUUGAAGGAUUGUGAAGCUGC
Molecule: long non-coding RNA, 365 nt
Organism: Hippocampus zosterae (dwarf seahorse)
Lineage: Eukaryota; Metazoa; Chordata; Actinopteri; Syngnathiformes; Syngnathidae
Exons: 4
Source: RefSeq, a predicted model, not a curated record